GACGAACGCUGGCGGCGUGCUUAACACAUGCAAGUCGAACGGAAAGGCCCUGCUUUUGUGGGGUGCUCGAGUGGCGAACGGGUGAGUAACACGUGAGCAACCUGCCCUUGACUUUGGGAUAACUUCGGGAAACUGGGGCUAAUACCGGAUAGGAGCUCCUGCUGCAUGGUGGGGGUUGGAAAGUUUCGGCGGUUGGGGAUGGACUCGCGGCUUAUCAGCUUGUUGGUGGGGUAGUGGCUUACCAAGGCUUUGACGGGUAGCCGGCCUGAGAGGGUGACCGGCCACAUUGGGACUGAGAUACGGCCCAGACUCCUACGGGAGGCAGCAGUGGGGAAUAUUGCACAAUGGGCGGAAGCCUGAUGCAGCAACGCCGCGUGCGGGAUGACGGCCUUCGGGUUGUAAACCGCUUUCGCCUGUGACGAAGCGUGAGUGACGGUAAUGGGUAAAGAAGCACCGGCUAACUACGUG
RNAcentral lists this ribosomal RNA (468 nucleotides) under uncultured bacterium. Its description in RNAcentral is "partial 16S ribosomal RNA". It matches the Rfam family "Bacterial small subunit ribosomal RNA", at positions 28 to 507 of the family's 1533-position model. The record is from RNAcentral.